Molecule: ribosomal RNA, 252 nt
Filed under: uncultured prokaryote
Description: partial 16S rRNA
Rfam family: Bacterial small subunit ribosomal RNA
Source: RNAcentral
ACGAAGGUCCCGAGCGUUGUUCGGAAUCACUGGGCGUAAAGGGAGCGUAGGCGGCGUGGUAAGUCAGACGUGAAAUCCCGGGGCUCAACCCCGGAACCGCGUCCGAUACUGCCGCGCUCAGAGGAUUGGAGAGGUAGCUGGAAUUCUUGGUGUAGCAGUGAAAUGCGUGGAUAUCAAGAGGAACACUCGUGGCGAAAGCGAGCUACUGGACAACUCCUGACGCUGAGGCUCGAAGGCCGGGGUAGCGAAAGG